This 72-nucleotide transfer RNA is filed under the name Bifidobacterium apri. RNAcentral's name for it is "tRNA-Thr". It matches the Rfam family "tRNA". From Rfam's summary of the family: Transfer RNA (tRNA) molecules are approximately 80 nucleotides in length. Their secondary structure includes four short double-helical elements and three loops (D, anti-codon, and T loops). Further hydrogen bonds mediate the characteristic L-shaped molecular structure. tRNAs have two regions of fundamental functional importance: the anti-codon, which is responsible for specific mRNA codon recognition, and the 3' end, to which the tRNAs corresponding amino acid is attached (by aminoacyl-tRNA synthetases). tRNAs cope with the degeneracy of the genetic code in two manners: having more than one tRNA (with a specific anti-codon) for a particular amino acid; and 'wobble' base-pairing, i.e. permitting non-standard base-pairing at the 3rd anti-codon position. Lineage: Bacteria; Bacillati; Actinomycetota; Actinomycetes; Bifidobacteriales; Bifidobacteriaceae. The record is from RNAcentral.
GCCUCGAUGGCUCAAUGGUAGAGCACCCCACUCGUAAUGGGGUGGUUCCGGGUUCGAUUCCCGGUCGAGGCU